UACAGGGGGGGCAAGCGUUGUUCGGAAUUACUGGGCGUAAAGGGCUCGUAGGCGGCCAACUAAGUCCGACGUGAAAUCCCAAAGCUUAACUUUGGAACUGCGUCGGAUACUGGAUGGCUUGAAUUCGGGAGAGGGAUGCAGAAUUCCAGGUGUAGCGGUGAAAUGCGUAGAUAUCUGGAGGAAUACCGGUGGCGAAGGCGGCAUCCUGGACCAUUACUGACGCUGAGGCGCGAAAGCUAGGGGAGCAAACGGG
Molecule: ribosomal RNA, 253 nt
Filed under: uncultured bacterium
Lineage: Bacteria
Description: partial 16S ribosomal RNA
Rfam family: Bacterial small subunit ribosomal RNA
Source: RNAcentral